UACGUAGGGUGCAAGCGUUAUCCGGAAUUAUUGGGCGUAAAGAGCUUGUAGGCGGUUUGUCGCGUCUGCUGUGAAAAUCCGGGGCUCAACCCCGAACUUGCAGUGGGUACGGGCAGACUAGAGUGUGGUAGGGGAGACUGGAAGUUCCUGGUGUAGCGGUGGAAUGCGUAGAUAUCGGAAGGAACACCGGUGGCGAAAGCGGCGCGCUGGAUCCCUACUGACGCUGAGGCACGAAAGCCAGGGGAGGCAAACGGG
Molecule: ribosomal RNA, 255 nt
Filed under: uncultured bacterium
Lineage: Bacteria
Description: partial 16S ribosomal RNA
Rfam family: Bacterial small subunit ribosomal RNA
Source: RNAcentral